This 572-nucleotide ribosomal RNA is filed under the name uncultured bacterium. RNAcentral's name for it is "partial 16S ribosomal RNA". It matches the Rfam family "Bacterial small subunit ribosomal RNA", at positions 355 to 920 of the family's 1533-position model. The record is from RNAcentral.
UGGGGAAUUUUGGACAAUGGGGGCAACCCUGAUCCAGCAAUGCCGCGUGUGUGAAGAAGGCCUUCGGGUUGUAAAGCACUUUUGUCCGGAAAGAAAACGUCGUGGUUAAUACCCGUGGCGGCUGACGGUACCGGAAGAAUAAGCACCGGCUAACUACGUGCCAGCAGCCGCGGUAAUACGUAGGGUGCAAGCGUUAAUCGGAAUUACUGGGCGUAAAGCGUGCGCAGGCGGUCCGCUAAGACAGAUGUGAAAUCCCCGGGCUUAACCUGGGAACUGCAUUUGUGACUGGCGGGCUAGAGUAUGGCAGAGGGGGGUAGAAUUCCACGUGUAGCAGUGAAAUGCGUAGAGAUGUGGAGGAAUACCGAUGGCGAAGGCAGCCCCCUGGGCCAAUACUGACGCUCAUGCACGAAAGCGUGGGGAGCAAACAGGAUUAGAUACCCUGAUAGUCCACGCCCUAAACGAUGUCAACUAGUUGUCGGGUCUUCAUUGACUUGGUAACGUAGCUAACGCGUGAAGUUGACCGCCUGGGGAGUACGGUCGCAAGAUUAAAACUCAAAUGAAUUGACGGGGUC